CGUUUGACCUCGGAUCAGGUAGGGAUACCCGCUGAACUUAAGCAUAUCAAUAAGCGGAGGAAAAGAAACCAACAGGGAUUGCCCUAGUAACGGCGAGUGAAGCGGCAACAGCUCAAAUUUGAAAUCUGGCUCUUUUAGAGUCCGAGUUGUAAUUUGCAGAGGGCGCUUUGGCUUUGGCAGCGGUCCAAGUUCCUUGGAACAGGACGUCACAGAGGGUGAGAAUCCCGUACGUGGUCGCUAGCUAUUGCCGUGUAAAGCCCCUUCGACGAGUCGAGUUGUUUGGGAAUGCAGCUCUAAAUGGGAGGUAAAUUUCUUCUAAAGCUAAAUAUUGGCCAGAGACCGAUAGCGCACAAGUAGAGUGAUCGAAAGAUGAAAAGCACUUUGGAAAGAGAGUCAAACAGCACGUGAAAUUGUUGAAAGGGAAGCGCUUGCAGCCAGACUUGCUUGCAGUUGCUCAUCCGGGCUUUUGCCCGGUGCACUCUUCUGCAGGCAGGCCAGCAUCAGUUUGGGCGGUGGGAUAAAGGUCUCUGACACGUUCCUUCCUUCGGGUUGGCCAUAUAGGGGAGACGUCAUACCACCAGCCUGGACUGAGGUCCGCGCAUCUGCUAGGAUGCUGGCGUAAUGGCUGUAAGCGGCCCGUCUUGAAACACAGACCAAGGAGUCUAACAUCUAUGCGAGUGUUUGGGUGUCAAGCCCGAGCGCGUAAUGAAAGUGAACGGAGGUGGGAACCCGCAAGGGUGCACCAUCGACCGAUCCUGAAGUUUACGGAAGGAUUUGAGUAAGAGCAUGGCUGUUGGGACCCGAAAGAUGGUGAACUAUGCUUGAAUAGGGUGAAGCCAGAGGAAACUCUGGUGGAGGCUCGCAGCGGUUCUGACGUGCAAAUCGAUCGUCAAAUUUGGGCAUAGGGGCGAAAGACUAAUCGAACUAUCUAGUAGCUGGUUCCUGCCGAAGUUUCCCUCAGGAUAGCAGUAACGUAUUCAGUUUUAUGAGGUAAAGCGAAUGAUUAAAAGGCAUGGGGGUUGAAACAACCUUCACCUAUUCUCAAACUUUUAAAUAUGUAAGAAGCCCUUUGUUACUUAAU
This 1081-nucleotide ribosomal RNA is filed under the name uncultured Ascomycota. RNAcentral's name for it is "eukaryotic LSU rRNA". It matches the Rfam family "Eukaryotic large subunit ribosomal RNA", at positions 1 to 1095 of the family's 3401-position model. The record is from RNAcentral. Lineage: Eukaryota; Fungi; Ascomycota.